RNAcentral lists this transfer RNA (80 nucleotides) under Alosa alosa (allis shad). Its description in RNAcentral is "tRNA-Leu". It matches the Rfam family "tRNA". Rfam says of the family: Transfer RNA (tRNA) molecules are approximately 80 nucleotides in length. The record is from RNAcentral. Lineage: Eukaryota; Metazoa; Chordata; Actinopteri; Clupeiformes; Clupeidae.
ACCAGGAUGGCCAGUGGUGAAGGCGUUGGACUUAAAAUCAAUGGCCAAUGUCCUCGUGGGUUCGAACCCCACUCCUGGUA